UGAGGAAUAUUGGUCAAUGGGCUGAGGCCUGAACCAGCCAAGUCGCGUGAGGGAAGACGGUCCUAUGGAUUGUAAACCUCUUUUGUCGGGGAGCAACGACGUCACGAGUGACGGAAGUGAGAGUACCCGAAGAAAAAGCAUCGGCUAACUCCGUGCCAGCAGCCGCGGUAAUACGGAGGAUGCGAGCGUUAUCCGGAUUUAUUGGGUUUAAAGGGUGCGUAGGCGGACUGUUAAGUCAGCGGUAAAAAUUCGGGGUCCAACCCCGUCAUGCCGUUGAAACUGGCGGACUAGAGUGGGCGAGAAGUAUGCGGAAUGCGAGGUGUAGCGGUGAAAUGCAUAGAUAUCACGCAGAACUCCGAUUGCGAAGGCAACAUACCGGCGCCCGACUGACGCUGAGGCACGAAAGCGUGGGGAUCGAACAGGAUUAGAUACC
Molecule: ribosomal RNA, 433 nt
Filed under: uncultured bacterium
Lineage: Bacteria
Description: bacterial SSU rRNA
Rfam family: Bacterial small subunit ribosomal RNA
Source: RNAcentral